UACUCAAAGGAAGUGAUGAAAUUAGGUAAAUUGCUCUUUGAGCUUCUGUCAGAAGCUCUAGGGUUAAACACUAGUCACCUCAAGGACAUGGAUUCAGUGCCGGCCCGGAGGACAUGCCACCCAAGCCACCGCUUGGGGCACCACUUUUUUUUUUUUUUUUUUAAGGUUUUUCUUUUUUUUUUUUGGAAAAAAGGCCCAAUUUUAGAAAAAAAAAAAGAAUUAAGCCUAUAAAAUGAAAAUAUUUGGUAGAAACUAAAGCCUUUUCGAAAAAAAUAAAUAAAAUAGGGCCCAAACAAUUAAAUUUGAAUGUAAUAAUAUUCAAAAUAUCAUUAUUUUGUAUAAUUUACUAAAAAUAGGUCAAAAAAAAUUUUUUAACCCUAAAACUUAUAAAUAUAUUGGGCCUCAUUUUAUUUUUCGUGUAGGGCCUCACAAAUGCUCGGACCGGCACUGCAUGGAUUGCACCAACUCCUUGCUGUUGCUCGGCCAUUAUUACCCGCCAUGUCCCCAACCCGACCUUACUUUAGGUUUGACCAAACACUUCGACAACUCUUUUCUCACUAUUCUUCUUCAAGACCAUAUCGGAGGGCUUCAAGUUCUCCAUGACCAAUAUUGGGUUGAUGUUCCUCCUGUUCCCGGAGCUCUUGUUGUUAACGUUGGAGAUCUUCUUCAGGUUAACUAACUAAUUAACCCUUUUGGUUUAUUUAUCAGUGGAGUUAAUCUAUGGACUAAGUUUGAUUAAUUAUAAUGGGGCAUAUAACAAACGACAAGUUCAAAAGUGUGGAGCAUAGGGUUUUGGCGAAUGUAGCUGGACCAAGAAUUUCAGUGGCUUGUUUCUUCAGUUCGUAUUUGAUGGCGAAUCCUCGAGUUUAUGGACCCAUCAAAGAUAUUUUGUCAGAACAAAAUCUGUAAAUGCAAGAGCUACUAAGUUUUGAAUUAGUUCACGAUGUAACUCUGAAUUUCUCAAAAACUCUUUCGAUUAAUAGAAAAUAUGUUUACAAGGUUUCUCCUUUAACACUAUUUUCUAUUCUCACUAAGUCUUGUUCUUUAAUCACAGACCGAUUAAGAACAAUAACUCUCCUUAAAACCCUUAGCUCUCUUUAAGCCUCUAGUUCUCUAUUUCUCUCAAACUAAGACUUAAUAGCUAGGAAUUCUCUCUAGUGAUUGUGCUAAGCUUUCUGCAAGCCUUAGCACUCCUACUUAUACUAAAUAGGUUGAGACCAUACAACAGGUCGAUUUCCAAUUCUAAAACUAAUUGGAAUGGACAAUUUCCUUUUUCUUUAUGGAAUAGGAAAUUGUCCUUUGUCUUCAUGUUUUCCUUUUCUUCUUGUAAAAGGAAACUCUUCAGUCUUCUAGAAUCUUCUCUAAGCUUCUAGUCUUCACUUCAAACCGCCAAAACAAGAUUCUGCAUAUUUCCUUAAUCUUGUUCAUGUUGCUCUGUUCUCUAGAGUUACUUCUUGUCUUAGUUCAGGUACUCCUUCAGAGGCUGCAUCUUCAAAAUCCUCCCAAAUAUAGAGACACCACCAUUACGGAGUAUGCAAAGUUCUACAGAUCCAAAGGAUUCGAUGGUACCUCUGGAUUACUCUAUCUCAAGAUCUGAGAAUAUCACUUGUCUAAUAAAGGUGCUUGGGACUUUGAUUUCCUCGCUGUAAUAACUUCUUCUUUAAUAUAUCUCUGUCAAAGCCACUGGGCUAGAACUGUCACAGGCCGUUGUUUUUUCUAUCAUGUAGAGUCACUUAAAAGGAUUCUUCGAAGUUUUAAAAAGGUUUAUCUCCUGGUUAAUUAGAAAAUCAAUAUUCGUUCUAGACAGAUGUGUCAUAUGUGAUUGCUAUUUGUUUUAACCUGAAUGAAUAUAACUUACUAAAUUUCUAAAGCCAUAAAAGCAAUAUUGCUACAACUUCAAUUUGUAAAGAUAAGAAAAAAAUCAUGCAGUUUUGAAAUCAAGUGUUCCUAUUUAAUAUAUUUUCUAGAAUAAUUUGAGGUAACAUGAUUAUUUGAUAGUUCUUGUGAUUGAAAUUUGUAAUUUUUUACAUUGUUUCUCUCUUGCAUUAACUGGUUUUUGAGAUACAUAAGAAAAUUAAUGUUUUGACUUUCUUACCCAAGAUGACAUGUUCAAAGAUGCACAUGUAUACAUCAUAGUAAAAUGCAAAGUAACCUAUCUUAUCAUUUGUAUAAUAAAAUGCUUGUGAUAUAUAUACCUUUUUUUCUAUCAACUUUAUCUCUUAUCAAUGGUCCCAUCUUGGAACACAAGAAACACGAGUAAUAUAUACCUUUUGUUUUGUGGGUUAGGUAAAGUGUCGGUGGGUGCUUAUGUUAUAUAUGAUUGUAUCAGAUUGCUCUAUCUGUCUUUAUGAGAGACAAAAACGAUGGAGACGAAGAAGAUUGCUUCAUUUGAUCGUGCCAGUGAGCUUAAAGCUUUCGAUGAGAGCAAGACUGGUGUGAAAGGACUCGUUGACGCUGGAAUCUCACAGAUUCCACGCAUUUUUCAUCACUCAUCUGUCGAACUAGCAGACCCUAAACCACUUCCCUCGGAGUUGCUACAUCUAAAGACGAUCCCAACGAUCAAUCUCGGAGGACGGGUCUUCGAGGACGCGAUUAAGCACAAGAACGCGAUUGAAGGGAUUAGAGAAGCGGCUGCGAAGUGGGGUUUCUUCCAAGUGAUUAACCAUGGAGUUUCGCUCGAUCUUCUUGAGAAGAUGAAAGAUGGAGUUCGUGACUUUCAUGAGCAACCCCCUGAAGUGAGGAAAGAAUUGUAUAGCCGCGAUUUCAACAGAAAGUUUAUGUAUUUAAGUAACUUCGAUCUCUACAGUGCUCCAGCUGCAAAUUGGAGAGACACAUUCUAUUGUUACAUGGCUCCAGAUCCUCCAAAACCAGAGGAUCUGCCAGAGAUUUGUAGGUAUGAGCCUUGGACCUUGGUCAAAGUUCCAACAAAUCUCUUAUUUGCCUUAGUUUAUGCAAACACCCUCUUAGACACAUUCAAACCAUGCUUUUGGAAAAGCUUUUGUGAAUACGUAAGCAACUUUGGUCGUUUUAAUUGUGCAGUAAAUCAACUUUAAUAUCUCUAUCCUUUCAGGGAUGUUAUGAUGGAAUACUCAAAGCAAGUGAUGAUUUUGGGUGAAUUUCUCUUUGAGCUUUUGUCAGAAGCUCUAGGGCUGAACCCUAAUCACCUCAAGGACAUGGAUUGCCUAAAGGGUUUGCGCAUGCUUUGCCAUUACUUCCCACCGUGUCCAGAGCCUGACCUAACUUUUGGCACAAGUCCGCACUCCGACAGCUCUUUUCUUACCAUCCUCCUUCCAGAUCAGAUCAAAGGGCUUCAGGUUCUUCGUGAAGGGUACUGGUUCGAUGUUCCUCAUGUUCCAGGCGCUCUCAUCAUCAACAUCGGAGAUCUUUUACAGGCAUGUUUACCAAUGCUUUCUUUUCCUCAGUUUUGCAUUCUAUAGAUAAUCUUCCCUUUAACUCAAAGUUUCUUUUGGGGGUUUGUGAUUUUGAUGCAGCUUAUAACAAACGACAAAUUCAUCAGUUUGGGGCAUCGAGUAUUGGCGAACAGAGCCACAAGAGCUCGAGUCUCUGUCGCAUGUUUCUUCACCACCCAUGUAAAACCCAAUCCUAGAGUGUAUGGACCCAUUAAAGAGCUUGUGUCCGAAGAAAACCCUCCAAAGUACAGAGAGACCACCAUUACAAACUACGCUACUUACUUCAAUGGCAAAGGACUUGGCGGAACCUCUGCUUUGCUCCAUUUUAAAGUAUGAAACAUGGCGAGCUACUACUUUCUCAAACAUAUACGACAUGACAGUAUAUGUAACAUGUUGGAAUUAUGUGAACCAAAUGUGGAAUUUAUGGAUUAUACUACAUUGUCAUUUCAGUUUGGUCCAUAUAAGGUGCAAUCGGAUAUGGUUAAUCGAUUAGAUGUCAAUAUUGGAUAUGAACAAGUUGGUUAUAUGCAUAUACACUAGAUUGGAUGGGUUGAAUUAUUAGAUGACAAUAUUUAAGAUUGGUUAAAUAAUGGUUCACUGGUUGGUUAAGUAAUGGUCUCUAGAUAUGUUUGCAUGUUUUCAUGAUUUGGUGUUAGUUCACUGUAAUUCAUGGAUUUAAAGGUCUUGGGAUUUUUUCAAGCAUGCAUAAGAUUAGUUGACGUUUUUUGCUUUAUCAUAAAAUCAUAAGGUUUUUGAAUCAUAUAUCAUGCAUGUUUCUGGAUUAAAAAUCACAAGAAAGCAUGUUUUUUUUGAAAAUAAAUUUAGUCUUUAAAGACCAUUUGUUGAAAACAAUAAAAGUUCCGUACUUAAUUCAAUUUCAAGAUAGUUAGGCGUAGAAUACAAGAAAGAAAACAAUUUUUUUGAAAGACAAGUGUUGUUUUCUUGUCUGAACAAAACCAACCCAAAUAUAGAGAGACACCACCAUUACUCCAUUACAGAGAAUGCAAACUUCGUUUUAUAUAUAUAUAUAUACUGUAUCAUUUUGACUAAUAAAGUUGCGUGGGAGAUUGAUUCUCUUAAUUCUGUAAUAACUUGUUGUUGACUAAAAGACUUGUCUGGUCCGCUCACUGCCACAAGCGGUUGUUUUUGUCUAUAAACCUUAUCUCUUACCAAUGGUUUUGCUGUAGCAACCGGUCACAUCUUUGAACUUAAGAAAAAUGUUUCAUUCUUGUUUUUAUAGAUUUUUAUGUUAUGCCUGAUUGUAUCAUAUUGUUCUGUUCUUCGAGAAACUAAAACUAUGGAGACGACGAAGAUUGCUUCUUCAUUCGAUCGUGCCAGUGAGCUCAAAGCUUUUGAUGAGACAAAAACGGGUGUGAAAGGACUCGUCGACUCCGGAAUUUCACAGAUUCCACGCAUCUUCCAUCACUCAUCUGUCAAACUAGAGAACCCUAAGCCACUUUCCUCGGACUUGCUACAUCUCAAGACGAUCCCAACGAUCGAUCUUGGAGGACGGGUUUUCGAGGAUGCGAGUAAGCGCAAGAACGCGGUUGAAAGAAUUAAAGAAGCAUCAGAGAAGUGGGGUUUCUUCCAGGUAAUUAACCAUGGAGUUCCACUUGAUCUUCUUGAGAAGAUGAAAGAUGGAGUUCGUGGGUUUCACGAGCAAUCCCCUGAAGUGAGGAAAGAUUUCUACAGUCGCGAUUUAACUAGAAAGUUUCAGUAUUCAAGUAAUUUCGAUCUCUAUAGUUCUCCAGCUGCAAACUGGAGAGACACGGUUGCUUGUACCAUGGCUCCAGAUCCUCCGAAUCCACAAGAUAUUCCAGAGAUUUGUAGGUAUGACUCCAUUGCUUUAACUUUAUUUGAUGUGUAAUCUCUAUUCAUAUAUGGUGAAUUGUUUCAGGGAUGUCACGAUGGAAUAUUCAGAGCAAGUGAUGAAUUUGGGUGAAUUUCUCUUUACGCUUUUAUCAGAAGCUCUAGGGUUGAACCCUAAUCACCUCAAUGACAUGGAUUGCUCUAAGGGUUUGGUCAUGCUUUGCCAUUACUACCCACCAUGUCCAGAGCCUGACCUAACUUUAGGCACAAGUCAGCACGCCGACAAUACUUUUCUUACCGUUCUUCUUCCAGAUCAGAUCGAAGGGCUUCAG
This 5551-nucleotide long non-coding RNA is filed under the name Arabidopsis lyrata. Its description in RNAcentral is "long non-coding RNA (ALYR_LNC002962)". The record is from RNAcentral. Lineage: Eukaryota; Viridiplantae; Streptophyta; Magnoliopsida; Brassicales; Brassicaceae.